RNAcentral lists this ribosomal RNA (468 nucleotides) under uncultured bacterium. Its description in RNAcentral is "partial 16S ribosomal RNA". It matches the Rfam family "Bacterial small subunit ribosomal RNA", at positions 28 to 507 of the family's 1533-position model. The record is from RNAcentral.
GACGAACGCUGGCGGCGUGCUUAACACAUGCAAGUCGAACGGAAAUGCCCUGCUUUUGUGGGGUGCUCGAGUGGCGAACGGGUGAGUAACACGUGAGUAACCUGCCCUUGACUUUGGGAUAACUUCAGGAAACUGGGGCUAAUACCGGAUAGGAGCUCCUGCUGCGUGGUGGGGGUUGGAAAGUUUCGGCGGUUGGGGAUGGACUCGCGGCUUAUCAGCUUGUUGGUGGGGUAGUGGCUUACCAAGGCUUUGACGGGUAGCCGGCCUGAGAGGGUGACCGGCCACAUUGGGACUGAGAUACGGCCCAGACUACUACGGGAGGCAGCAGUGGGGAAUAUUGCACAAUGGGCGGAAGCCUGAUGCAGCAACGCCGCGUGCGGGAUGACGGCCUUCGGGUUGUAAACCGCUUUCGCCUGUGACGAAGCGUGAGUGACGGUAAUGGGUAAAGAAGCACCGGCUAACUACGUG